This 404-nucleotide ribosomal RNA is filed under the name uncultured bacterium. RNAcentral's name for it is "bacterial SSU rRNA". It matches the Rfam family "Bacterial small subunit ribosomal RNA", at positions 355 to 776 of the family's 1533-position model. RNAcentral also lists the same sequence under 1 other name. The record is from RNAcentral.
UGGGGAAUAUUGGACAAUGGGGGCAACCCUGAUCCAGCCAUGCCGCGUGAGUGAUGAAGGCCCUAGGGUUGUAAAGCUCUUUCGGCGGGGACGAUAAUGACGGUACCCGCAGAAGAAGCCCCGGCUAACUUCGUGCCAGCAGCCGCGGUAAUACGAAGGGGGCUAGCGUUGCUCGGAAUCACUGGGCGUAAAGCGCACGUAGGCGGAUCUUUAAGUCAGGGGUGAAAUCCCGAGGCUCAACCUCGGAACUGCCUUUGAUACUGGGGAUCUCGAGUCCGGAAGAGGUUGGUGGAACUCCGAGUGUAGAGGUGAAAUUCGUAGAUAUUCGGAAGAACACCAGUGGCGAAGGCGGCCAACUGGUCCGGUACUGACGCUGAGGUGCGAAAGCGUGGGGAGCAAACAGG